Ailuropoda melanoleuca (giant panda) is the source of this 84-nucleotide non-coding RNA. NCBI's taxonomy places the organism in Eukaryota, Metazoa, Chordata, Mammalia, Carnivora, Ursidae. The record is from Rfam.
GCCUGGGUGGCUUAGUCGGUUAAGCAUCUGCCUUUGACUCAGGUCAUGAUCCCAGGAUCCUGGGAUCAAGUCCCGCAUCAGGCU